RNAcentral lists this long non-coding RNA (462 nucleotides) under Equus asinus (donkey). RNAcentral describes it as "lncRNA (ENSEASG00005024181.1)". Lineage: Eukaryota; Metazoa; Chordata; Mammalia; Perissodactyla; Equidae. The record is from RNAcentral.
GAGCCUGAUAGGAGAGGAUUCUGGAUUUGUCGAAGUGUACACUUCCUUCUGUGCACUUAUCUGAACGGUUCGUGAAGAGCAUCCUUUCAAUCUAAGUAUGUAUCUCAAGGAGACUCACUCACCAAUGCCAGCACUUCAGCACACCCGCAGAAGGAGUGCAUGGACUCCAUGACCACAUUGCAAAGACUGACUUCUGUCUGCACAAGAAAUUCAGAGACCAGUAGUUCCCUCCCGGCAUGGACAGAAAAACUUCCCUGCAGCCUCUUUCCAUUUAGUCUGGUGAAAUUGAACGUAAACUGCCCUGAGGGCAAGCUGGAUCCCAGCUGGAAUCUCACCCUGUUGCUAGGCUUCGCCCAACAGCCCACUACUUUGUCUUCACAUCCAUACAAGGACUGUGUAAGGAAAAGAGCAGGGAAAGACUGGACCAUCACCCUCAAAUCAUUAGCAGGAAAUACAAAGCCU